Dipodomys ordii (Ord's kangaroo rat) is the source of this 130-nucleotide small nucleolar RNA. Its record names the gene SNORA70. It matches the Rfam family "Small nucleolar RNA SNORA70". From Rfam's summary of the family: snoRNA U70 seems to be exclusive to mammals and is a member of the H/ACA class of snoRNA which contain H (ANANNA) and ACA box motifs. The record is from Ensembl. Lineage: Eukaryota; Metazoa; Chordata; Mammalia; Rodentia; Heteromyidae.
CUGCAGACUCUAAGACCAUCAGGCUCCAUCUCCAUGGAAGCCUGGUGUGAGACAGUCAGACACUGCUUUGUUGGUAAAGUGUCCAGCCUGUUGCUUAUAUGGUCGUCCUUAAGUGAUCUUGGAGACAGCA